CAGACUCUUCUAAACCCUCAAAUUUCCCUCUUUUCCAAGAGCUCAAACAAAGAAAACAAUAGCACAACCACCUUCUCUCUAUUGUCUUCCUUCCCCACUUUCUCAGAUCACCAAUCUCUUCAAUUUCAAUCCAUAACCUCCACUACUCCACCACCCCCCCAAAACCCAUCAACCAAUACCACCGCUACCUUUAUCCACUCUUCCACUCUGAUUUUUCUUUCUUUUUUCUGUAAUGGUCACUGGUGGGUCCCACCGGGAUGAUGGGGACAAAAACCACCGCCGUCCCGCUGCCACCGUUUCUAGAGCUGGUACCACCAGGUCUUGGGGCACCACCACUGUCUC
RNAcentral lists this unclassified non-coding RNA (342 nucleotides) under Hevea brasiliensis (rubber tree). The record is from RNAcentral. Lineage: Eukaryota; Viridiplantae; Streptophyta; Magnoliopsida; Malpighiales; Euphorbiaceae.